Molecule: ribosomal RNA, 348 nt
Filed under: uncultured bacterium
Lineage: Bacteria
Description: bacterial SSU rRNA
Rfam family: Bacterial small subunit ribosomal RNA
Source: RNAcentral
AGAGUUUGAUCAUGGCUCAGGAUGAACGCUAGCUACAGGCUUAACACAUGCAAGUCGAGGGGCAGCAUGUUGGUUGCUUGCAACCAACGAUGGCGACCGGCGCACGGGUGAGUAACGCGUAUCCAACCUACCCUUGUCCAUCGGAUAACCCGUCGAAAGGCGGCCUAACACGAUAUGCGGUUCACGGCAGGCAUCCAAGGUGAACGAAAUGUGAAGGAGAAGGAUGGGGAUGCGUCUGAUUAGCUUGUUGGCGGGGUAACGGCCACCAAGGCUACGAUCAGUAGGGGUUCUGAGAGGAAGGUCCCCCANAUUGGAACUGAGACACGGUCCAAACUCCGUACGGGAGCA